Molecule: ribosomal RNA, 388 nt
Filed under: uncultured bacterium
Lineage: Bacteria
Description: bacterial SSU rRNA
Rfam family: Bacterial small subunit ribosomal RNA
Source: RNAcentral
AUUGAACGCUGGCGGCAUGCUUUACACAUGCAAGUCGAGCGGCAGCGCGGGGGCAACCCUGGCGGCGAGCGGCGAACGGGUGAGGAAUACAUCGGAACGUGCCCGAGAGUGGGGGAUAACGCCGCGAAAGCGGCGCUAAUACCGCAUAUUCUCUGAGGAGGAAAGUGGGGGACCGCAAGGCCUCACGCUCACGGAGCGGCCGAUGUCGGAUUAGCUAGUUGGUGGGGUAAAGGCUUAACCCAAGGCGACGAAUCCGUAGCUGGUCUGAGAGGAUGAUCAGCCACACUGGGACUGAGACACGGCCCAGACUCCUACGGGAGGCAGCAGUGGGGAAUUUGGACAAUGGGGGCAACCCUGAUCCAGCCAUGCCGCGUGAGUGAAGAAGGCC